CCUACGGGAGGCAGCAGUAGGGAAUCUUCCACAAUGGGCGAAAGCCUGAUGGAGCAACGCCGCGUGGGUGAAGAAGGUCUUCAGAUCGUAAAACUCUGUUGUUAGAGAAGAAAGUUCGUGAGAGUAACUGUUCACGUUUCGACGGUAUCUAACCAGAACGCCACGGCUAACUACGUGCCAGCAGCCGCGGUAAUACGUAGGUGGCAAGCGUUAUCCGGAUUUAUUGGGCGUAAAGGGAGCGCAGGCGGUCUUUUAAGUCUGAUGUGAAAGCCUUCGGCUUAACCGGUGUGGUGCAUUGGAAACUGUGAGACUUGAGAGCAGAAGAGGAGAGUGGAACGCCAUGUGUAGCGGUGAAAUGCGUAGAUAUAUGGAAGAACACCAGUGGCGAAAGCGGCUCUCUGGUCUGUAACUGACGCUGAGGUUCGAAAGCGUGGGUAGCAAACAGGAUUAGAUACCCCAGUAGUC
Molecule: ribosomal RNA, 465 nt
Filed under: uncultured bacterium
Lineage: Bacteria
Description: partial 16S ribosomal RNA
Rfam family: Bacterial small subunit ribosomal RNA
Source: RNAcentral